UAAUAUAAUUUUCUCCGAGCCAUCCUACCUAAAACAUUUAUGUCAAGGUAUUUUGGCCGUUAGGGUUAAUCUGGAAAUGGAUUAGCCUCCCUGUUGGAAAGGAGAGCAUUUUCCCGCCUG
Molecule: non-coding RNA, 120 nt
Filed under: Desulforamulus ruminis
Lineage: Bacteria; Bacillati; Bacillota; Clostridia; Eubacteriales; Peptococcaceae
Also listed under: 1 other name
Description: Desulfotomaculum ruminis MoCo sequence
Rfam family: Molybdenum/Tungsten riboswitch aptamer (Moco RNA motif)
Source: RNAcentral